GACGAACGCUGGCGGCGUGCUUAACACAUGCAAGUCGAACGGAAAGGCCCUGCUUUUGUGGGGUGCUCGAGUGGCGAACGGGUGAGUAACACGUGAGUAACCUGCCCUUGACUUUGGGAUAACUUCAGGAAACUGGGGCUAAUACCGGAUAGGAGCUCCUGCUGCAUGGUGGGGGUUGGAAAGUUUCGGCGGUUGGGGAUGGACUCGCGGCUUAUCAGCUUGUUGGUGGGGUAGUGGCUUACCAAGGCUUUGACGGGUAGCCGGCCUGAGAGGGUGACCGGCCACCUUGGGCCUGCGAUACGGCCCAGUCUCCUACGGGAGGCAGCAGUGGGGAGUAUUGCACAAUGGGCGGAAGCCUGAUGCAGCAACGCCGCGUGCGGGAUGACGGCCUUCGGGUUGUAAACCGCUUUCGCCUGUGACGAAGCGUGAGUGACGGUAAUGGGUAAAGAAGCACCGGCUAACUACGUG
This 468-nucleotide ribosomal RNA is filed under the name uncultured bacterium. RNAcentral's name for it is "partial 16S ribosomal RNA". It matches the Rfam family "Bacterial small subunit ribosomal RNA", at positions 28 to 507 of the family's 1533-position model. The record is from RNAcentral.